Molecule: long non-coding RNA, 663 nt
Organism: Branchiostoma floridae (Florida lancelet)
Lineage: Eukaryota; Metazoa; Chordata; Leptocardii; Amphioxiformes; Branchiostomatidae
Exons: 3
Source: RefSeq, a predicted model, not a curated record
ACACUUCAUCACUAGCCAUUAGUCUUCAAGUCUGACAGAAGAAGAAGAAAGAAGAGAGUAGAACUGACCACCUCCUCCACUGGCCUCUCCAUCCCUACUAACAAAUGUGUGGAACACAUGGUCAGAGUCCGAACCCCCCCUCCCCAACUACCAGGGGACCAGUGGAGCCAGCCUGUCUGCUGCUGUAUUUGUGCAGAGCUAGGAGGUCUGGGAGGGAGACCCAGUUUCCUGGCCUGGGAAAAUACCAUCAGUCUGAAGGAGGAGGGGCAGAGGGAAGAAUAUACAACUUAGGAGUCCAUCAUCUCUUACACAUGGUGACCCAAGGGCCUGAUGAUGGACAGGGGGUGUCCUUUAUAUGCAAGAAAAAUGCACAUAAAAGCAGGUCAGGCCCUGGGAGUAGCACAAGGACCUUCAAGUUGUCCAUACUGUUCUGAAGCUUCUCUCAAGUUCAGUUCAACAUCUGUAACCUUCCAGCCCUCAACUUUCGGCUCACCUGUGAAAAUCGGUGUACAACUUUGGAGUUCAAACAACAAGUCAAAGAAAGCAGAGAGUGAAUUAAGGUGUGCAAAGAGCAGACUCAGACCAGUUAGCUGAAGGUCCUCUUGAACAGAGGUGAGUGUUUGCAACGGACAUAUUUCACAUUAAUGAAUAUGGAAUUAUGUA